Molecule: small nuclear RNA, 107 nt
Filed under: Cervus hanglu yarkandensis (Yarkand deer)
Lineage: Eukaryota; Metazoa; Chordata; Mammalia; Artiodactyla; Cervidae
Source: RNAcentral
GCGCUUGCUCCGGCAGCACAUAUACUAAAAUGGGAACGAUACAGAGAAGACUAGCAUGGCCCCUGCGCAAGGAUGACACGCAAAUUUGUGAAGGGUUCCAUAGGAAA